Molecule: non-coding RNA, 1794 nt
Organism: Oryzias latipes (Japanese medaka)
Lineage: Eukaryota; Metazoa; Chordata; Actinopteri; Beloniformes; Adrianichthyidae
Source: RefSeq, a predicted model, not a curated record
UGUUAUUAAAAUCCUGUUUUCUGUCAUGGUUGCAAAGCAGGAGGAGCACGUUUCUAGUAAGGAGUUUGUCGUUUGAACUUGUCCAGCAGCUGAGUUUCAUCAAGAGUCACUUGUUUCUUUGAGCUAUAGAAGUCGUGCAAAUUUAGGUUAAAACAGCUGUGCAAGUCUUUGGCCUUUCCAUGAACACUGGGUGGUUUUAAAGUGUCUGAACACCUGUGAGGAGAUGGAACAUGAAUGUCUGCAGCUGAACUUCUCUGCAUCCAAAACACACCUUCUUACUGCCAUCUCAGAUCAGUGCCAGGUCAAAUCACCUGUAGCUGAGAGGGACCAGAAGAAAAGAUGUGAACGUUUCAGGAGUCUCUGUGGAUCCUCCACACGCUGAAACCAACACCUGUCCAGAUGUUAAAGUUGGAUGAAGCAGCUCAUCAUGUAAAGCCUCCAGCAGCUCCAGUCGGAGGACAGAGACUCACCAGCUGAUGUUCAGGCUCUUCUAGCACCUGACGCUGGCUUCCACUCCUCCAUUCAGUUUUCUGUCUCUUAUCAGCGGUCUGCUCUCCAUCUCGGCUGCGUCAGAAGGAUUCCUGCCAUAUCUGGGAUUUGUUCUCCCUAUAAAUAGACGGGUGAGACCCCGAGGGGCCUGCUCUGUGUCCACACACAUGGACACGCACAGAGACGGCCAAAACACCCAUCAACAGCAGCAACAAGAGCUUUUUAUGGACUCUAUUUAAAGACACACCGCCACUCAUCUUCACAUUGAAAUAGUGAACCAAACCUACGGAAACGCCGGCUCAAACCCUUCUUAAAGAAGUCAAACGUGGCAGGAGGAAACUCCCAGAUGGAUCUCAGAAAGCUCUCCUGCUCUGGAAAUGGUAACGUCCUACUUCUGCCGUGACACACAAACGCAGCAGAGGCCGGUUCUCUGAAUGCUCCUCGCUCUACCGCAGAGAGGAGCGCGGAUCCCGCCGAGGUGAAGGUGUGUGAGAGUGUGUGGGGGUCACUUACCUGCAACUGUGCACACUUGCUCUGGCCUGCCUGCUCUCUUCCAGGUCCUCUUCAGCUACCUGACCUGCUUCUGCUGCCUCUGAUUGGCCGGCAGAGACAUCAGACUCCUCCCCGCGUGGAACCAGACCCAGCUUUGCAGAAUCAGAUGAGCUCUCUGCUUCGCUCUGAAGCUCUGCUGAGCUUCUUGAGGCUGAAGUUGCCGUUUCCCAGCUGGAGCCGUCCACCCUGAUCACAGCGCUCGUAAAACAUCUCCAACAUUCAUCCGAUGUUUCUUGACCUCUGGGGGGAAAACCACGUUCCUGGUUCUGUGCAGAAGCUAACAGACAGUCAGAGACCAGAGAGGUUCACCAGACCACGGGGGGGAGGGGGGGUCCUUUUCAGGUUCUGUCUGGAUCCACAAGAGAGUCAGGAAGGGCUGCCCUGUGCUGUAGUGGUUAGCACCCUGGCCUUACAGUGAGAAAGAAGGUCCUGGUCCAGAAAGGACCCGGCCGGCUUUAUCUUGUGUGGACUUUGCAUUUCUCCUGGUUUCGGCUGGGUCCAGAAACAUGCUUCACAGCUUUAUUGGGGAUCUCUGCAGCCCGAUGAAGCCGUCAUCGGUGUCCCUGCAGGCAGAUGUCCACCUGAAUCCUUCCUUCCUCCACCAAAGACCAGAUCUCUACGUUUGUGUGACACUUCCAUCCGAGGAGGGGCAGUUUUUGGCAUUUUCAAUGUUCUAAUGCUAAUAUAACAGACUAUUUUCAUUCCUCUUUAUUGUUUUAUGCUGAAACGGGACGUUUCAUCUGGAGGAGGGGG